UACGGAGGGUGCAAGCGUUGUUCGGAUUUAUUGGGCGUAAAGCGCGUGUAGGCGGUUUCUUAAGUCUGAUGUGAAAGCCCUGGGCUCAACCCAGGAAGUGCAUUGGAUACUGGGAGACUUGAAUACGGGAGAGGGUAGUGGAAUUUCGAGUGUAGGGGUGAAAUCCGUAGAUAUUCGAAGGAACACCGGUGGCGAAGGCGGCUACCUGGACCGAUACUGACGCUGAGACGCGAAAGCGUGGGGAG
Molecule: ribosomal RNA, 245 nt
Filed under: uncultured Desulfuromonadaceae bacterium
Lineage: Bacteria; Pseudomonadati; Thermodesulfobacteriota; Desulfuromonadia; Desulfuromonadales; Desulfuromonadaceae
Description: partial 16S ribosomal RNA
Rfam family: Bacterial small subunit ribosomal RNA
Source: RNAcentral